This 275-nucleotide unclassified non-coding RNA is filed under the name Athalia rosae (coleseed sawfly). RNAcentral's name for it is "misc RNA ENSAEAG00005005260.1". Lineage: Eukaryota; Metazoa; Arthropoda; Insecta; Hymenoptera; Athaliidae. The record is from RNAcentral.
CUGAUCAAAAACUCGUGACACACCUUUGACGUUGCAUCGGAGCAUAGCCUGUGAAUCGAAGUCGAACACAACCCUGACGUUGACGAAUACUAAUGAUGACAUGUCAUUAUAAUUACUCCUUUAUCCAGGUAAUUGCAUUCUUGGUCUCGAAAUGGAAAACACUCAGAGGAUCAGAGAGGCUACAGUCUCCAGACAUUUGCAAUUUUGGGGGCUGGACAAUGGAACUAAGCAACAGUGAAGCUACGUGUCAGUUUUAUUUGAAUAUGGAUACAGCG